AUUGAACGCUGGCGGCAGGCCUAACACAUGCAAGUCGAGCGGAUGAAGGGAGCUUGCUCCUGGAUUCAGCGGCGGACGGGUGAGUAAUGCCUAGGAAUCUGCCUGGUAGUGGGGGAUAACGUUCGGAAACGGGCGCUAAUACCGCAUACGUCCUGAGGGAGAAAGUGGGGGAUCUUCGGACCUCACGCUAUCAGAUGAGCCUAGGUCGGAUUAGCUAGUUGGUGGGGUAAAGGCCUACCAAGGCGACGAUCCGUAACUGGUCUGAGAGGAUGAUCAGUCACACUGGAACUGAGACACGGUCCAGACUCCUACGGGAGGCAGCAGUGGGGAAUAUUGGACAAAGGGCGAAAGCCUGAUCCAGCCAUGCCGCGUGUGUGAAGAAGGUCUUCGGAUUGUAAAGCACUUUAAGUUGGGAGGAAGGGCAGUAAGUUAAUACCUUGCUGUUUUGACGUUACCAACAGAAUAAGCACCGGCUAACUUCGUG
RNAcentral lists this ribosomal RNA (484 nucleotides) under uncultured bacterium. RNAcentral's name for it is "partial 16S ribosomal RNA". It matches the Rfam family "Bacterial small subunit ribosomal RNA", at positions 30 to 507 of the family's 1533-position model. The record is from RNAcentral.